AUGCCUUUAGUGUUAAUUGCUUUCUGGGCGUUGCGUGCCUUUGCGGGUUUUUUUUUUUUUUUUCUUGCGGGUGAAGGGUGCAGGGCUGAUGCCUCUGGGUGCUGGGAGUGGGUCCUUGGGACCACCCUGGGGUGGGCAGUGGGGCAGCUCUGCUUGCUCAGCCCAGCCCCAGACAGGCUGGAAACGAGCCUCGCAGGACAAAGUGUUGUUUCAUCCCACAAGGAAAAAGGUUUUAUGGGUCAUCUGGAAAUGCUAAUCCUCAGGGAUGCCACAAGGAAUGCUGCCUGUGUCCAGCAAGGCUUUGGCAGGUGCUGGGGCCCCCCUGCCCAGCUCCUGGUGCCCAUCACAGCUCCUUCCUCCCCAGACCUGGCUCCAGGAACUGCGGCUCUGCACGGUGUUGGUGUUGGGAAGGCUGACAAGGCUGGGGAUACCCAGGAGCUGCCCGCAGGAGUGUGUGUUUGCCAGGGAAAAGGAAAUUCCUCCAAGCUCUGUGGCCAACCCAGUGACUGCACAGUGGGGAAAGACAGGACAAGGGAUCUCGUUUGGGAUCCUGCCGUACAUCACACACCCCGUUUUCCCUUCAUGACUGCCGAGGUCCUGGCUCCUUGCUGAGCCCCCAGGACAAGGUGCCAGACCCAGGCGAUGCUCACAGGAGUGACACGUUUCCUUCUGAGCUCGGUGAGUCACCACUGAGUCACGGCUCGCUCUGCGGGCAGCUCCGUGCCCGUGGAAGGCUGCGGGAUGUGAGGUUCCUGCCCUCCGUGCACUGGAGAGCCCUCUUCUCCCUGCUCCCCUGGCCUUGCAAACCUGGCUUUGUGGCUCAGGAGAGAUGGGAGAUGAGUGACUGGUCCCUGCUGACCCCCUCCUGCCCCUCACCACGCAGCCCCUCCAGCCUCCAACCCCAGCUCUUCGAGCUGAGACCAGACAGUGUGGGGUUUGGGGUAACCUUAAGGGGUUUUCUCCCUGGGGCAGGACCUUCUGCAGUUCUCCUGGGAUGGAAAGUGCAGAACCCAAGGGGAAAU
RNAcentral lists this long non-coding RNA (1022 nucleotides) under Parus major (Great Tit). RNAcentral describes it as "lncRNA (ENSPMJG00000012518.1)". Lineage: Eukaryota; Metazoa; Chordata; Aves; Passeriformes; Paridae. The record is from RNAcentral.